RNAcentral lists this long non-coding RNA (413 nucleotides) under Parus major (Great Tit). Its description in RNAcentral is "lncRNA (ENSPMJG00000005333.1)". The record is from RNAcentral. Lineage: Eukaryota; Metazoa; Chordata; Aves; Passeriformes; Paridae.
AUGGUGUUGCUUCCUGCCUCUCUCUGGGGUCGCCUGGCAACCAUUUGCUAGCCUCCUGCCAUCAGAUCCCUAUCGAGCAAGGGCAUCUGGAAGCUCAUUUGGGAUGAGAACUGCUCCCUUUCACCAUCCCUGCUGGCCUUCUGUGGGCAGAGAUGCCCUGUGAUUGUUCCUGUCUGAUCACAUUCCCCACUCUCCUUGCCCUGAAGCUAACAUCUUUGCACUGGCUGGAGUAAGCCCAAAGGUUGUUAAACACUGGUUUGGCCACUGGGUUUUGCUACAGGAAUGAAAGUGGAUGAAUGCCUCGUGCUGAUCCACACCUUGGUAAGAGCACCUUCUUCUGACAUCCCACCUUGGGGUUAAGCCUCCUCCCCUGGCUGUGGUGCUACAGAUAUAAAUCACCUUUCUAUAGCUGG